AGCUGGUCUGUGCAGUGUUGUUUACAACUAAUUGAUCACAGCCAGUUACAUUCCUUUGCUCCUUCUCCACUUCCACUGUUUUACUUGACUAGCAAAAA
Molecule: unclassified non-coding RNA, 98 nt
Organism: Otolemur garnettii (small-eared galago)
Lineage: Eukaryota; Metazoa; Chordata; Mammalia; Primates; Galagidae
Rfam family: Y RNA
About the family: Y RNAs are components of the Ro ribonucleoprotein particle (Ro RNP), in association with Ro60 and La proteins. The Y RNAs and Ro60 and La proteins are well conserved, but the function of the Ro RNP is not known.
Source: Ensembl